UGAAGAGGGGCAGGGAGAGAGGUGGGGAGCUCUGCUUCAGCUGUGGGCACAGGAGGCAGGACUCAGGGAUGACCUCCACCAUGGCCUGGGCCCCUCUCCUCCUCACACUCCUGGCUCACUGCACAGGAUCCUGGGCCCAGUCUGUGCUGGCUCAGCCGGCCUCAGUGUCGGGGUCCCUGGGCCAGACGGUCACCAUCUCCUGCACUGGAAGCAGCACCAACAUUGGGGCUAAUAGUGUGAACUGGUACCAGCAGCUCCCAGGGAAGACCCCCAGAACCGUCAUCUAUUAUACUAAUAGCAGACCCUCAGACAUUCCGGACCGAUUCUCUGGCUCCAAGUCUGGCAACUCAGCCACCCUGACCAUCACGGGGCUGCAGGCUGAGGACGAGGCCCUUUAUCACUGUCAGUCCUAUGAUGACAAUCCUGGUGCUCACACAGUGCCCCAGGCCUGUGGGGAAGUGAGACAAAAACCCGCUGAGCCGCUGCAGUGGGUCACGGGCAGCGCCAUCCUCUGA
Pipistrellus kuhlii (Kuhl's pipistrelle) is the source of this 515-nucleotide non-coding RNA. NCBI's taxonomy places the organism in Eukaryota, Metazoa, Chordata, Mammalia, Chiroptera, Vespertilionidae. The record is from the annotation of a RefSeq genome assembly.